UGUAUAUUCAUAAAUACAUUAGUGCAACGU
RNAcentral lists this non-coding RNA (30 nucleotides) under Rattus norvegicus (Norway rat). The record is from RNAcentral. Lineage: Eukaryota; Metazoa; Chordata; Mammalia; Rodentia; Muridae.